This 303-nucleotide long non-coding RNA is filed under the name Elaeis guineensis (African oil palm). RNAcentral describes it as "long non-coding RNA (EGUI_LNC064027)". Lineage: Eukaryota; Viridiplantae; Streptophyta; Magnoliopsida; Arecales; Arecaceae. The record is from RNAcentral.
GGGACAUCAGUGUAGGGCCAGAUCAGAAAGAUCAAGCCUGAUAAGAGUCAAACUGAAUGCUACUUUUGUAAGAAGUGGGGGCACUGGAAGAGGAACUAUUCUCAGUACAUUGCCUUCCUAGACUCGAACAGGUAGAGAAAGAAGCAAGCUGUUGCUGGACAAGGUAUUUAUAUGAUAACUCCUUGCAAUUUCUCUAUUUAUGAUAUAACUGACUGGGUAUUGGAUAUCGAUAGCCCUUACCAUAUUUGCAAUUCGUUGCAGGGGUUGUAACUCAGUAGGAGAUUCGAGCAAGAUGAGAGAUUC